Molecule: ribosomal RNA, 219 nt
Filed under: uncultured bacterium
Lineage: Bacteria
Description: partial 16S ribosomal RNA
Rfam family: Bacterial small subunit ribosomal RNA
Source: RNAcentral
UACGGAGGGUGCAAGCGUUAUCCGGAUUCACUGGGUUUAAAGGGUGUGUAGGCGGGUUAUUAAGUCAGUGGUGAAAUCUCCGGGCUCAACCCGGAAACUGCCAUUGAUACUAUUAGCCUUGAAUUCUGUUGAGGUGGGCGGAAUAUGUCAUGUAGCGGUGAAAUGCAUAGAUAUGACAUAGAACACCAAAUUGCGAAGGCAGCUCACUAAAACAGCGAU